CGGUGAAAUCAGGGAGUGCCAUCCCCGAUUUCACCUAACCACAACGUACUGUCAAGGAGUACUUAUCAUGGCUAA
RNAcentral lists this small RNA (75 nucleotides) under Acinetobacter baumannii MRSN 58. Its description in RNAcentral is "R1162-like plasmid antisense RNA". The record is from RNAcentral. Lineage: Bacteria; Pseudomonadati; Pseudomonadota; Gammaproteobacteria; Moraxellales; Moraxellaceae.